This 422-nucleotide ribosomal RNA is filed under the name uncultured bacterium. RNAcentral's name for it is "bacterial SSU rRNA". It matches the Rfam family "Bacterial small subunit ribosomal RNA", at positions 355 to 775 of the family's 1533-position model. The record is from RNAcentral.
UAGGGAAUAUUGGACAAUGGGGGGAACCCUGAUCCAGCCAUGCCGCGUGAGGGAAGAAGGUCCUCUGGAUUGUAAACCUCUUUUGGCGGGGGACAAACCUGCGCUAUACGCGCAGCUGAGGGUACCCGCAGAAUAAGCACCGGCUAACUCCGUGCCAGCAGCCGCGGUAAUACGGAGGGUGCAAGCGUUGUCCGGAUUCAUUGGGUUUAAAGGGUGCGUAGGCGGCCUGGUAAGUCAGCGGUGAAAUACCCCCGCUCAACGGGGGAACUGCCGUUGAUACUGCCGGGCUUGAGUUCGUGCGAGGUUGCUGGAAUGCGUGGUGUAGCGGUGAAAUGCAUAGAUAUCACGCAGAACACCGAUUGCGAAGGCAGGUGACUGGCACGCGACUGACGCUGAGGCACGAAAGUGUGGGGAGCAAACAG